GUAGGGAGCAAGCGUUAUCCGGAUUUAUUGGGUGUAAAGGGUGCGUAGACGGCACUGCAAGUCUGAAGUGAAAGCCCGGGGCUUAACCCCGGGACUGCUUUGGAAACUGUAGGACUAGAGUGCAGGAGAGGCAAGCGGAAUUCCUAGUGUAGCGGUGAAAUGCGUAGAUAUUAGGAGGAACACCAGUGGCGAAGGCGGCUUACUGGACUGUAACUGACGUUGAGGCUCGAAAGCGUGGGGAGCAAACAGGAUUAGAUACCCUGGUAGUCCACGCCGUAAACGAUGAUUACUAGGUGUUGGUGGGUAUGACCCAUCGGUGCCGCAGCAAACGCAAUAAGUAAUCCACCUGGGGAGU
Molecule: ribosomal RNA, 355 nt
Filed under: uncultured bacterium
Lineage: Bacteria
Description: bacterial SSU rRNA
Rfam family: Bacterial small subunit ribosomal RNA
Source: RNAcentral